GAGGGGCUUCUCCCCGAGGUCCUGAGGUAGCCCGCUCGCCGGGCUGGGCCGCCUGCUGGCCCCGGGCUCUCCCCUGCGGCAAGCCAGACCCCGGCCACCCCGCAACGACAAGAGGGAGGAGGCGGGGGCCGUUUCCCACCCCUUCGGCCGCUCCCAGCCCGCCCAAGGACCAAAUAGCAGGACACGAAAGGGCUCCAGAUGCUGAAGUUGAGAGCGACAGAAGAAGCUUCGAGCAAGUUGAUUAGAAUGUGCACCACCCGCAGAGCAGCCUCCCGGAAAGGUACUACAAUCAGCACCUGGAAACAAGACGGUGAAUCGGGGGAUGCCAAGCAAGCCCAAAAUGCCCCCUGCCGCCCCACCAGAUGUACAGACUGGGAGCCCUGCCUGGCAUCGGCCUGCGAUAGCUCAGGGGAUAGAGCAAGGGCCUGCGAGUCAGGAGACCUGGGUUUACCCCCUGCUCAGAGAACUUGGGUCUGUUUGAGCUAGAACAUCGAACACCGUCCGCUUCUGACAACAUGAAUGUCUGUUUGGGCUGGGCCCAUUGUUAGCCCCGAAAACAUACAUAUGCGCCCGCGACGUCGGAACUGGCCUCCUCCUCCAUCUGUAAAAUGGAAACGAUAAUACCUGCUGCCUCUGCCUCGUUGGGAGGUUGAAGACAGAAUGAGGUAAUAACUUUUAAAGAACGCUGCCAAAUGAAAGUGCUCUACCAAGCUGUGGUACUGGCGUCAUUACAUAGGUAGGACUGAGUGUCUGAGUCCCCGUGGACGCACCACAUAAGGAGUCUUCCUUGAGGAACUGCCACUUUAGGGCCAGUUUCUCCUGCUGUCUUCACAGUUAGCUUUCCUACAGAGCGCUUACCGUCAUCCUGGAGACCACGCACGAGUCUAGAGGAACAACAGAAGCUUAAUAAAAAGAAGCAGCAAACUCCAGGCCCACUUCUUUUACUGGCUUCAAAAACCUCCCUCUCAAAGUGUGUGCGUAGACACCUAGGUGGAUGCACAAACUGUUUUCACCGCCUUUGUAACUGCCUUUGGUAGAGCUGUAAAUUAACUAAAUAAAACCUAUGUCUCCAAGUAA
Molecule: long non-coding RNA, 1077 nt
Organism: Ornithorhynchus anatinus (platypus)
Lineage: Eukaryota; Metazoa; Chordata; Mammalia; Monotremata; Ornithorhynchidae
Exons: 5
Source: RefSeq, a predicted model, not a curated record